RNAcentral lists this ribosomal RNA (406 nucleotides) under uncultured bacterium. RNAcentral's name for it is "partial 16S ribosomal RNA". It matches the Rfam family "Bacterial small subunit ribosomal RNA", at positions 30 to 526 of the family's 1533-position model. The record is from RNAcentral.
AUUGAACGCUGGCGGCAGGCCUAACACAUGCAAGUCGAACGAGUGGCGGACGGGUGAGUAAUGUCUGGGAAACUGCCUGAUGGCGGGGGAUAACUACUGGAAACGGUAGCUAAUACCGCAUACCAUCAGAUGUGCCCAGAUGGGAUUAGCUUGUUGGUUGGGUCACAGCUCACCAAGGAGACGUUCCCUAGCUGGUCUGAGAGGAUGACCAGCCACAAUUGCACUGUGACCCGGUACAGACUCCGACGGGAGGCAUCAGUGGGGAAUAUUGCACAAUGGGCGCAAGCCUGAUGCAGCCAUGCCGCGUGUAUGAAGAAGGCCUUCGGGUUGUAAAGUACUUUCAGCGGGGAGGCGUUACCCGCAGAAGAAGCACCGGCUAACUCCGUGCCAGCAGCCGCGGUAAUAC